UAGAAAUUAGUUUAACAAAAAACACAGAGCCUUGAUCUCUACACUAUAAGUUUAAAUCUUAUAUUCCUAC
Molecule: transfer RNA, 70 nt
Filed under: Euretidae gen. sp. DVL-2014
Lineage: Eukaryota; Metazoa; Porifera; Hexactinellida; Sceptrulophora; Euretidae
Description: tRNA-Gln
Rfam family: tRNA
About the family: Transfer RNA (tRNA) molecules are approximately 80 nucleotides in length. Their secondary structure includes four short double-helical elements and three loops (D, anti-codon, and T loops).
Source: RNAcentral